UACGUAGGGUGCAAGCGUUAAUCGGAAUUACUGGGCGUAAAGCGUGCGCAGGCGGUUGUGUAAGUCUGACGUGAAAUCCCCGGGCUUAACCUGGGAAUGGCGUUGGAGACUGCAUGGCUUGAGUGUGUCAGAGGGGGGUAGAAUUCCACGUGUAGCAGUGAAAUGCGUAGAGAUGUGGAGGAAUACCGAUGGCGAAGGCAGCCCCCUGGGAUAACACUGACGCUCAUGCACGAAAGCGUGGGGAGCAAACAGG
This 253-nucleotide ribosomal RNA is filed under the name uncultured bacterium. Its description in RNAcentral is "partial 16S ribosomal RNA". It matches the Rfam family "Bacterial small subunit ribosomal RNA", at positions 524 to 776 of the family's 1533-position model. The record is from RNAcentral.